RNAcentral lists this ribosomal RNA (320 nucleotides) under Demodex folliculorum. RNAcentral describes it as "partial 16S ribosomal RNA". The record is from RNAcentral. Lineage: Eukaryota; Metazoa; Arthropoda; Arachnida; Trombidiformes; Demodicidae.
UUUUAUUUUAUGAAUUGAGCUUAAAGUGAAUUUGAUUUUUCUAAGAAAAGUUAGAAGUUUUCCUAAAGACGAGAAGACCCCAAAAUCUUUAUUUUAAUUUAUAGGAUUUAAUUUUUAUUUGGGGGAAAGAUUGAUUUUUAUUUAUUGUUUUAUUAUUCGAACUUUUUUUUAGGGUGUAUGGAUAGAUACUUUGGGGGUAACAGGAUUAUUUUCUUUUGAAGUUCUUAUUUUAGGGGAAGUUUAUUACCUCGAUGUUGGCUUUUGAUUUUAGUUGGGGGUAGCUUUUCAAACUAAUAGUCUGUUCGACUAUUAAAAGAGAA